AACUAACGCUAAAAAUUGUUACAGUUUCUGUACUAUAUUGGUAUGAGAAGCUUCCAGUUCAUCUGGUAAAUUUUGGAAACACUGCCUUCGGGCAC
Molecule: unclassified non-coding RNA, 95 nt
Filed under: Herpetomonas megaseliae
Lineage: Eukaryota; Euglenozoa; Kinetoplastea; Trypanosomatida; Trypanosomatidae
Also listed under: 1 other name
Description: trans-spliced leader sequence SL
Source: RNAcentral